CCUACGGGUGGCAGCAGUGGGGAAUAUUGGACAAUGGGGGCAACCCUGAUCCAGCCAUGCCGCGUGUGUGAAGAAGGCCCUCGGGUUGUAAAGCACUUUCAGUGAGGAAGAACGCCUGGUGGUUAAUACCCAUCAGGAAAGACAUCACUCACAGAAGAAGCACCGGCUAACUCCGUGCCAGCAGCCGCGGUAAUACGGAGGGUGCGAGCGUUAAUCGGAAUUACUGGGCGUAAAGCGCGCGUAGGUGGCUUGAUAAGCCGGUUGUGAAAGCCCCGGGCUCAACCUGGGAACGGCAUCCGGAACUGUCAAGCUAGAGUGCAGGAGAGGAAGGUAGAAUUCCCGGUGUAGCGGUGAAAUGCGUAGAGAUCGGGAGGAAUACCAGUGGCGAAGGCGGCCCUCUGGACUGACACUGACACUGAGGUGCGAAAGCGUGGGUAGCAAACAGGAUUAGAUACCCGUGUAGUC
This 465-nucleotide ribosomal RNA is filed under the name Vreelandella stevensii. Its description in RNAcentral is "partial 16S ribosomal RNA". It matches the Rfam family "Bacterial small subunit ribosomal RNA", at positions 338 to 795 of the family's 1533-position model. The record is from RNAcentral. Lineage: Bacteria; Pseudomonadati; Pseudomonadota; Gammaproteobacteria; Oceanospirillales; Halomonadaceae.